GGGUGCGUAAGCUCAGUGGUAGAGCACAUGCUUAAAAUGCAAGAGGUCCUGAGUUCAAUCCCCAGUACCUCCA
This 73-nucleotide transfer RNA is filed under the name Camelus bactrianus (Bactrian camel). It matches the Rfam family "tRNA". Rfam says of the family: Transfer RNA (tRNA) molecules are approximately 80 nucleotides in length. Their secondary structure includes four short double-helical elements and three loops (D, anti-codon, and T loops). Further hydrogen bonds mediate the characteristic L-shaped molecular structure. tRNAs have two regions of fundamental functional importance: the anti-codon, which is responsible for specific mRNA codon recognition, and the 3' end, to which the tRNAs corresponding amino acid is attached (by aminoacyl-tRNA synthetases). tRNAs cope with the degeneracy of the genetic code in two manners: having more than one tRNA (with a specific anti-codon) for a particular amino acid; and 'wobble' base-pairing, i.e. permitting non-standard base-pairing at the 3rd anti-codon position. RNAcentral also lists the same sequence under 3 other names. The record is from Rfam by way of RNAcentral. Lineage: Eukaryota; Metazoa; Chordata; Mammalia; Artiodactyla; Camelidae.